UCUUCCAUAGUUGCUUGGAGUCCCAGAUGUUGCAGUGAUGGACCGGAUGUGUCCUCUGAUGGUUCGUUGGUGUGCAUAUUGACUGAAACAUGUUAUUAGCACACAGCAGACAUGCGCCUCCACAGAGAGCGAGCACCGCAGAAGACCAGCCGAUGUAGAGGCCUUGACCAAUCUCAUACCUGCCACACACAGUGUGUCUCAUUAUCUGCAUAAUAAACAAUAUUUAACUAUU
Austrofundulus limnaeus is the source of this 232-nucleotide long non-coding RNA. RefSeq lists it as uncharacterized. The transcript is spliced from 2 exons. NCBI's taxonomy places the organism in Eukaryota, Metazoa, Chordata, Actinopteri, Cyprinodontiformes, Rivulidae. The record is from RefSeq and is a predicted model, not a curated record.